UGCACCGCAGUGAGUCUGGAGAGACCAAGUGAAGAAAAGUGGGCAGUAAGUUUUAAAUAUCUCCAGUGACAUACUCCAAAAAUCUUCUCCAUGACAGGAUUUUUUGGAUGAUUUUCUCCCAGUGUGAAAACUGAAGUGCUGCUACAGAUCUUGGAGGAACUGUAGGGACUUGAUGCCAGAUCUUCAAAACAGCACAGCAAGCUGAUGAGAAGCUGUCCUUCCACACCCAAGGGCCGCGGACUGAGAACCAGCGCUCUGGAGCUUAUAAAGAGCGACUCCUUUAGAAAGCGAUCUAAACCAGGAGCUUUACUCAUUAACUUUUGCUAGACUGAUGCCACUCAGAGCUCUCCCAUACUCUCUUGUCCAGGGUAUGUUUUAAUGAAGGAAAAAAAACCCCCAAAAUAUCUCCACCGGUGUCUUUUAUUAAGUAAUGCAAAAUACAGUAUUAAUUAUGACACUGCAUGCAUUUUAGACAAUAUAAAUGCAAACCUACAGAAAAUGUGACAAAGAAACCCUCAAUUACUUUUGAGGUAGUAUACAAGGAAAAAUAGGAAAGCAGAAACACAGUGGAUUAAAAGAACAAAAUAUUAGUAUCACUUUGUGCAUACAUUAGUCACUCAUAAAUACAUUUGUAUGAAAUAACAUAAGAUACAAUUCCAUUCUUGUUAAAAAAUAUACUUCUUCAAAUUCACCAUUCUUGUUUGUGUUGUUUUCACAUGACAUUU
This is a long non-coding RNA of Pygoscelis adeliae (Adelie penguin), 725 nucleotides long. RefSeq lists it as uncharacterized. The transcript is spliced from 3 exons. NCBI's taxonomy places the organism in Eukaryota, Metazoa, Chordata, Aves, Sphenisciformes, Spheniscidae. The record is from RefSeq and is a predicted model, not a curated record.